AUUGAACGCUGGCGGCAGGCUUAACACAUGCAAGUCGAGCGGAGUGAUGGUGCUUGCACUAUCACUUAGCGGCGGACGGGUGAGUAAUGCUUAGGGAUCUGCCUAUUAGUGGGGGACAACAUCUCGAAAGGGAUGCUAAUACCGCAUACGUCCUACGGGAGAAAGCAGGGGAUCACUUGUGACCUUGCGCUAAUAGAUGAGCCUAAGUCGGAUUAGCUAGUUGGUGGGGUAAAGGCCUACCAAGGCGACGAUCUGUAGCGGGUCUGAGAGGAUGAUCCGCCACACUGGGACUGAGACACGGCCCAGACUCCUACGGGAGGCAGCAGUGGGGAAUAUUGGACAAUGGGGGGAACCCUGAUCCAGCCAUGCCGCGUGUGUGAAGAAGGCCUUAUGGUUGUAAAGCACUUUAAGCGAGGAGGAGGCUCUUUUGGUUAACACCCAAGAUGAGUGGACGUUACUCGCAGAAUAAGCACCGGCUAACUCUGUGCCAGCCGCCGCAGUAA
This 503-nucleotide ribosomal RNA is filed under the name uncultured bacterium. Its description in RNAcentral is "partial 16S ribosomal RNA". It matches the Rfam family "Bacterial small subunit ribosomal RNA", at positions 30 to 523 of the family's 1533-position model. The record is from RNAcentral.